UGAGGAACAUGACCUUCGGCGGGGGAUAGCCGGCCCAACGGCCGGGUAAUACCGCGUACGACCACAUGGGGACAUCCCUGAGUGGUGAAAGCAGCAAUGCGCCGAUGGAGUGCCUCGCGGCCUAUCAGCUAGUUGGUGAGGUAACGCUCACCAAGGCAAACGAUGCGUAGCCGACCUGAGAGGGUGAUCGGCCAACAGUUUGGGAACUGAGACACGGUCCAGACCUGUACCGGGAGG
Molecule: ribosomal RNA, 237 nt
Filed under: uncultured bacterium
Lineage: Bacteria
Description: partial 16S ribosomal RNA
Rfam family: Bacterial small subunit ribosomal RNA
Source: RNAcentral